This 651-nucleotide long non-coding RNA is filed under the name Bos taurus (domestic cattle). RNAcentral describes it as "long non-coding RNA NONBTAT023395". Lineage: Eukaryota; Metazoa; Chordata; Mammalia; Artiodactyla; Bovidae. The record is from RNAcentral.
GGUGUCUGCCAUACUGCAGCUUUGCAUGAUAGGUUUCUUUUGAAAAUAUGUGUUUUCAGAAAUGUUUUAGGAGAACAGCUUUUUUUUUUUUUUUCCUUUUACCAAUUUUUUAGUGUUUAUUAGAAGAGGCUGAAAAAAUUAUACACUUCCUCUUAUGAAGGAUUAUGGACACCAAAAGGUAGAGGAUUCCUAGUACAUACCUGGUCCUGCAAUUCUGUAUACUUUCUAGUAUACUUGAUAUACUUUGUUUUUUGCAAAAACAGGCUUAGGUUUUUUUUCUGAUUCUUAGGUUUGGGAGAGAACUGGCAUAAGGAAUUUUUUUUUUAACCAACUUUGACUUUUUUUCCCCUCUCUUUUUAAAUUUCUCAUCUGAAAUAUGACCUGUAAAAGAAAACAGAAUCAUCUUUAUGAGAUAUGUGUCAUCUCUAAGCCAAAGAUUGGCUAUCCAUUUGUCCCUUAAGAAAAAUGAAAAGUCAUGGCAUCUGUGUAGUGAGAUGUCUGCUGCUUAGUCAAUUACAGAUAAUCUGAUUAUCAACCUAUCAGGCCAUCAAGUCUACUUGUAUAUUUAUAAACAUAAGCUUACUUCUUAAAUGGUGGGCUUUCAUCCUAUGGGACUUUUCCUUUAAAGUGAAUUUCACCUGGGAAAUUACU